UACGAAGGGGGCUAGCGUUGCUCGGAAUCACUGGGCGUAAAGGGUGCGUAGGCGGGUUUUUAAGUCAGGGGUGAAAUCCUGGAGCUCAACUCCAGAACUGCCUUUGAUACUGAAGAUCUUGAGUUCGGGAGAGGUGAGUGGAACUGCGAGUGUAGAGGUGAAAUUCGUAGAUAUUCGCAAGAACACCAGUGGCGAAGGCGGCUCACUGGCCCGAUACUGACGCUGAGGAACGAAAGCUAGGGGAGCAAACGGG
This 253-nucleotide ribosomal RNA is filed under the name uncultured bacterium. RNAcentral's name for it is "partial 16S ribosomal RNA". It matches the Rfam family "Bacterial small subunit ribosomal RNA", at positions 524 to 776 of the family's 1533-position model. The record is from RNAcentral.